RNAcentral lists this ribosomal RNA (154 nucleotides) under uncultured bacterium. Its description in RNAcentral is "partial 16S ribosomal RNA". It matches the Rfam family "Archaeal small subunit ribosomal RNA", at positions 319 to 474 of the family's 1478-position model. The record is from RNAcentral.
ACUCCUACGGGAGGCAGCAGGCGCGAAACCUCCGCAAUGUGAGAAAUCGCGACGGGGGGACCCCAAGUGCCAUUCUUAACGGGAUGGCUUUUCUUAAGUGUAAAAAGCUUUUGGAAUAAGAGCUGGGCAAGACCGGUGCCGCAGCCGCGGUAAU